GGGGUUGACAGGAAUUGACAGCAUUGUUCAUUGACAAGUAAGCAUGCAGAGCAUUGUAAUUUGGCUCUUUAAUCUCAAGCUACGAAACAAUUUUACACGGCGAGUCUAACUACGCCAUGGCAGCUUAAUUCCAAGAAUUAAGUAGCCUUCGUUCUCAGAACCGAUUGUCUGAUACGGUUUUGAAGGACGUCACAACAUCAGAAUAGGGAUGUAAUUUUCCGCUGCACCCCGAGAUAAAGGAAAUAAGGAUAUUCUCAGGUCCGACCGUUCACCCUGAAUAUCCCGAAAACCAAGAAUGGCCUAAGCAUGUAGAAAGCUUGUAAAUGCUUUGGCUGGACGUGGGUUCGAUUCCCACCAGCUCCACGA
Molecule: transfer-messenger RNA, 366 nt
Filed under: Chitinophagales
Lineage: Bacteria; Pseudomonadati; Bacteroidota; Chitinophagia
Also listed under: 1 other name
Description: UBA7236 sp002473275 Standard tmRNA
Rfam family: transfer-messenger RNA
About the family: Bacterial tmRNA, also known as 10Sa RNA or SsrA, is named for its dual tRNA and mRNA-like properties. Its role is to liberate the mRNA from a stalled ribosome. To accomplish this part of the tmRNA is used as a reading frame that ends in a translation stop signal.
Source: RNAcentral